GCCUUCGUGGUGCAGUGGUCAGCACGCUCGACGGGUAACCGAGAGGACCGUGGUUCAAUUCCCGGCAAAAGCG
Stegodyphus mimosarum is the source of this 73-nucleotide non-coding RNA. Lineage: Eukaryota; Metazoa; Arthropoda; Arachnida; Araneae; Eresidae. The record is from Rfam.